This 133-nucleotide ribosomal RNA is filed under the name uncultured bacterium. RNAcentral describes it as "partial 16S ribosomal RNA". It matches the Rfam family "Bacterial small subunit ribosomal RNA", at positions 356 to 481 of the family's 1533-position model. The record is from RNAcentral.
CGAGAGGCUUCGGCAAUGGGGGAAAACCCUGACCGAGCGACGCCGCGUGCGGGAAGACAGCUUUCGGGUUGUAAACCGCUGUCAGGAGGGAAGAAUCCCCAAUGGUUAAUACCCGUUGGGUUGACGGUACCUC